Molecule: ribosomal RNA, 541 nt
Filed under: uncultured bacterium
Lineage: Bacteria
Description: bacterial SSU rRNA
Rfam family: Bacterial small subunit ribosomal RNA
Source: RNAcentral
AAUAGAUACCCUGGUAGUCCACGCCGUAAACGUUGGAUACUAGGUGUGGCGGUUAUACCAAUGACUGCCGUGCCGAAGCUAACGCAUUAAGUAUCCCGCCUGGGGAGUACGGCCGCAAGGCUAAAACUCAAAGGAAUUGACGGGUCCCCGCACAAGCGGCGGAGCAUGCGGCUUAAUUCGAUGCAACCCGAAGAACCUUACCUGGGUUUGACAUCACGGGAAAAGCUGUAGAAAUACAGUGUCCAUUAGGGCCCGUGACAGGUGGUGCAUGGCUGUCGUCAGCUCGUGUCGUGAGAUGUUGGGUUAAGUCCCGCAACAAGCGCAACCCUUGUCCUAUGUUGCCAGCGGUUCGGCCGGGGACUCAUAGGAGACUGCCGGGGAUAACUCGGAGGAAGGUGAGGACGACGUCAAGUCAUCAUGCCCCUUAUAUCCAGGGCUGCACGCAUGCUACAAUGGCCGGUACAACGGGCAGCGACCCCGCGAGGGUGAGCGAAUCCUAAAAAGCCGGUCCUAGUUCGGAUUGAAGUCUGCAACUCGACUU